This 74-nucleotide transfer RNA is filed under the name Candidatus Zixiibacteriota bacterium. Its description in RNAcentral is "tRNA-Ile". It matches the Rfam family "tRNA". From Rfam's summary of the family: Transfer RNA (tRNA) molecules are approximately 80 nucleotides in length. Their secondary structure includes four short double-helical elements and three loops (D, anti-codon, and T loops). Further hydrogen bonds mediate the characteristic L-shaped molecular structure. tRNAs have two regions of fundamental functional importance: the anti-codon, which is responsible for specific mRNA codon recognition, and the 3' end, to which the tRNAs corresponding amino acid is attached (by aminoacyl-tRNA synthetases). tRNAs cope with the degeneracy of the genetic code in two manners: having more than one tRNA (with a specific anti-codon) for a particular amino acid; and 'wobble' base-pairing, i.e. permitting non-standard base-pairing at the 3rd anti-codon position. The record is from RNAcentral. Lineage: Bacteria; Pseudomonadati; Candidatus Zixiibacteriota.
GGGGGAGUAGCUCAGUCGGUCAGAGCGCCUGUCUUAUACACAGGUCGUCGGUAGUUCAAAUCCACCCUCCCCUA